This 253-nucleotide ribosomal RNA is filed under the name uncultured bacterium. RNAcentral describes it as "partial 16S ribosomal RNA". It matches the Rfam family "Bacterial small subunit ribosomal RNA", at positions 524 to 776 of the family's 1533-position model. The record is from RNAcentral.
UACAGAGGUCUCAACCGUUGUUCGGAUUCAUUGGGCGUAAAGGGUGCGUAGGCGGUCGGGUAAGUCGGAUGUGAAAUCUCAGGGCUCAACCCUGAAACUGCAUUCGAUACUGCCUGGCUAGGGUACUGGAGAGGAGACUGGAAUUUACGGUGUAGCAGUGAAAUGCGUAGAUAUCGUAAGGAAGACCAGUGGCGAAGGCGAGUCUCUGGACAGUUACCGACGCUGAGGCACGAAAGUCAGGGGAGCAAACGGG